RNAcentral lists this microRNA precursor (89 nucleotides) under Chlorocebus sabaeus (green monkey). RNAcentral's name for it is "miRNA (ENSCSAG00000027008.1)". The record is from RNAcentral. Lineage: Eukaryota; Metazoa; Chordata; Mammalia; Primates; Cercopithecidae.
UAUUAGGUUGGUGCAAAAGUAAUUGCGGUUUUUGCCAUUAAAAGUAAUGACAAAAGCCGCAAUUACUUUUGCACGAAACUGGUAGUAUU